UGCAUAAAUGUCUAAUCUGUAUUCAGUAUUUAAGUAAACCAGAGGAAUAAGGUAUGUUCAUAGACAAAUAGGAACUCUAGGUUUCUCCUCAAGUUUCCCACUCAUUGGAGGUACAACGUUUCAAUGCUCUGGUGCAUUAGUAGUCUUAACAAGGGCCUGAUGAAUAGGUACACGUCAACAUCUGGGAUGUGAAUAUCUGAGAGAGGAAGAAAUACAAAACACAGAUUGUUCUCAAACAGCUUGCAUCAUCAUCGCCUGCAAGAUUAUGUUUUUAAUUCCAGGUGAUGGCCCCAAAGUGAGAGGAGUCUGGACGCAGCCGACAUCAUCAUCAUCACUCUGAGAUAGAGAGAAAACAACAUGGUGGAACAACGAAAACAGAGAAACAAAACACUUUUUCCUUUCCCACUAAAAACAUGUAGAACAUCUUCAAAACAGGUCACAAGUCCAUUAUUGUGAUCCACACCAAUACUUUCCAUGUAGGAUACAUGAGAAAACAGGGCGCCGAGGUCACGUUUCCUCUAGGUACCGAUCCAGGAUCAGAUUCCGCUCCCCUAAUCCUAACUUUAACAAUAGUGGGGAAAUGUAAAACGGACCCAAGAUCAGCGUCUAGGGGCAACUUCACCCUACAGCAAAAAACACGGCAUAUGGUCAAACUGCACAGACGUCAACUGAACGUCUAUUUCACGUUGGCUCAACGUAAUUUCAUUGCAAUUACAGGGGAACAACGUCGAUUCAACAAGUGUGUGCCCAGUGGGCAGGGUGUAACUUCCCAAUACAAAACUUCACACCACCACCAUCAUCAUCAUCAUCAUCCCUGUUGGAAAGAGAUUAGCCUGAUCCCAGAUCGGUUUGUGCUCUUGCCAACUCAAUGUAGUUGUCAAGCCAAUUGUUUGGCAUGACAAUUCCAUAAUGAGUUGGCAUGAACAGAAACAGAUCUGGGAUCAGGCUAGAAAGAGAUGGGAGAGAAUUCAAACAAUGAUGCAAGAGAAAAACGUCUGCAACAAAUCAACAACGCAGUGAGUCAAUCCUAACCACUACUGUAGUCGCUUUUCUGAUCAACCUAAAUCAGAACAGAAUGUCAAAAACUACAUGUCAAAUACAUGAGCACAACAAUGUGUGUUCUGAUGCUUUUAUCAAAACCUAAUGCAAGCUAGAGAUACAUCAAUCUAAUGAAUGGAGGGAUAUGUAAUAUGAAACACCGAAACUUGGCACUUUGAACUGAAAUACUAGAACAUUCCUCGGUAUGUAAUAAUGUACAUGGUUGUAAACAGGGUUGGGGUCAAUUCCAUUUCAAUUCAGAAAGAUUCCAAUUUACUUCCUGAAUAGACUGGAAUUGAAAUGGAAUUGACCCCAACCCUGGUUGUAAACAGAUAGAUGUCCACUCUGGGCCACCGUAGUAGUGGACAUAAGGGCCUGGAGUUUGUUCUACUGACCACUUGGCCUGACCAGGUAAAACUUUAGGCCCCAGACAUAGUUAAUAGAUGUUUGGCAGACCAGGUUCAUUCCUACUUCCUAUACAAAAUCUAUUGUUUCCUUGACUUUUUCAGACAACACAACAACGGCUGUGUCUAAGAGUGAGGGGCCUAACGUAAAGGAGACUGGGGCUGCAUGGGCGAUGGUAAGAGAUAGGGGAUGUCUCAAUCCACUUUACUGGCUUCCUUCCUUCAUCUCCUUUUCCUUCAUUAUUAAUGAUAGGUGAAAGGCCUGGAUAGGCUUUCACCAUAUGUUGCUUCCACUUACCAGAUCAGAGAUCAUGGAGGAAAGGGUACAAUGAAAAGGAAGCAAGAUCACACUAUUGAGACACAGCCUGGGGGGGAGGGUCCUAUAUCAAGCUCACACUAUUGAGACACAGCCUGGGGGGGAGGGUCCUAUAUCAAGCUCACACUAUUGAGACACAGCCUGGGGGGGAGGUCCUAUAUCAAGCUCACACUAUUGAGACACAGCCUGGGGGGGAGGGUCCUAUAUCAAGCUCACACUAUUGAGACACAGCCUGGGGGGGAGGGUCCUAUAUCAAGCUCACACUAUUGAGACACAGCCCGGGGGGAGGGUCCUAUAUCAAGAACACACUAUUGAGACACAGCCCGGGGGGAGGGUCUUAUACCAAGAUCACACUAUUGAGACACAGCCCGGGGGGAGGGUCCUAUAUCAAGAUCACACUAUUGAGACACAGCCCGGGGGGAGGGUCUUAUACCAAGAUCACACUAUUGAGACACAGCCCAGGGGGAGGGUCUUAUACCAAGAUCACACUAUUGAGACACAGCCUGGGGGGAGGGUCCUAUACCAAGAUUGGCAAAGUAACCCAUUAUACUAACUACUUUCAAAGAAAGGAAUUGCAAGGCACAGUGAAAUUGACAACUGGUAAAUAUCAGUUCCCUAGACAUCAUUAAAUCCAGUAGGGUUUUAGUCAUACGGCCUAACAACAGAUUCUAAUUUGGUCCAAAAGGAAAGACAGGUUUGAGUGCAUUUGCAGCAAACAGAUGACAUAGCUUUAACCUUUAGACAGUACCAGGUCAUAGCUUUAACCUUUAGACAGUACCAGGUCAUAGCUUUAACCUUUAGACAGUACCAGGUCUUCUCUAUUGACAAUCCAAUUCUGAAAGGUUUGUGCAUU
Molecule: long non-coding RNA, 2611 nt
Organism: Coregonus clupeaformis (lake whitefish)
Lineage: Eukaryota; Metazoa; Chordata; Actinopteri; Salmoniformes; Salmonidae
Exons: 3
Source: RefSeq, a predicted model, not a curated record